Molecule: ribosomal RNA, 486 nt
Filed under: uncultured bacterium
Lineage: Bacteria
Description: bacterial SSU rRNA
Rfam family: Bacterial small subunit ribosomal RNA
Source: RNAcentral
UUGAACGCUGGCGGCAUGCCUUACACAUGGCAAGUCGAACGGCAGCACGGGAGCAAGUCCNGGUGGCGAGUGGCGAACGGGUGAGUAAUAUAUCGGAACGUGCCCAGUCGUGGGGGAUAACGUAGCGAAAGCUACGCUAAUACCGCAUACGAUCUAUGGAUGAAAGCGGGGGAUCGCAAGACCUCGCGCGAUUGGAGCGGCCGAUAUCAGGAUUAGGUAGUUGGUGAGGUAAAGGCUCACCAAGCCGACGAUCUGUAGCUGGUCUGAGAGGACGACCAGCCACACUGGGACUGAGACACGGCCCAGACUCCUACGGGAGGCAGCAGUGGGGAAUUUUGGACAAUGGGCGCAAGCCUGAUCCAGCAAUGCCGCGUGCAGGAUGAAGGCCUUCGGGUUGUAAACUGCUUUUGUACGGAACGAAACGGUGAGCUCUAAUACAGUUUGCUAAUGACGGUACCGUAAGAAUAAGCACCGGCUAACUACGUG